GGUUUCGAACAGUAUUUUUUUGCUCCGAGUUACGGUCGUUAGUUGCUCGUGGAUGUUAUUCGUCGUAUUCUCGUUUCUGAUUGGUUGUAUCCAAAUUUAGGUUUUGGUCGAUGAUUCACCGGAAAAAAAAUGUGCAAGAAAUUAAAACGAAGCUGUUUCUUUCUGAGUUUUGAAUUAUUGAAUCAAUAAAAUUCAGUCCUGUCUGGUGGUUGAAAAUGUUCGUCAGAUGUUACGAAAGCUGCUGAGUAUUCGAUGAUUGCUUGAGAAGUUGUACGUACCAAACACAUUUCGUCGAAGAAGUUCAUCUCUCAACAUAUCCGUAUAUGAUCCAUCUUCCUGUGAAAUCAUCAGUUGCUGUAAUCAUAACAUGAUAUCUGAUAUUGUCGACGACUGGAUUCAUCUCAAAUACCCACCUACCUACUUUGAAAUUGAAAAUGGCAUGACGAUGAACUGCUGAUCAUUCUAAACCUGUACUACCGAACGAUAACGAUAUCAUGGAACUAAAACAAGGAGUAAAAAAAGCGGAAACGAAAGAUGAUGUUUGUCCUGAAUCAAUUUCAAGAGCUUUGCGUCCUUUUCUCGAACAGAUUCGAUUCAACGACGAUGACGUGUUGGGAAUAUUUUCCUCUUGUAUUUUCUCAUACAUCAUUAUUUUGUUGAAAAAUAUGAUCGGUUUUGGUUUUCGGUUUUUCAAAGUCGGAGUGAUUUUCUUGAAAUUGAAUGAUGACUUUUUCGUUCUUUGAUAUACCUACCUAUUUUCUUCGUUACUCGAUAAUGUAUUACAACGAAUCUACUCUGUGAAUUUGAAGCGAAACAAUAGAAAUUUUCGAAGAUGUCAUUACGUAGAGUACUUUUGCUCCUGUGUAACAAUUUUUGAAACAAUCGAAAAUACUCAUCAUUGGGUUACGAAGCAAACAGCAAUUGAGUUUUGUUCGUAAUUCACUUCCUCACGAUACAAGCACUCAUCCUACUAGUAUAAUGAUGCUGAAAACGUAUUUGCGGAUACGGACCUCCGAGUCGACAGAGCUCGGACUGCCCUUGUAGCCAUCCCAGGCGAGGUUAGGGUAGAAAUCCGUGCGCCGUCUACUUGCUUACUGCUUCCCGGCGGUACACGUGCCGACCGGGGUUUUUACAGGAUCGGGCUUAUCAAAUGGGAUGUAGGCUGGCGCUUUUCAGGCGGUCUGUUAUCACUUCGUACAAGUGUAACUUUUAUUCCUACGCUGACGUCGGCGUGUUGUAAAUUUUACUCUUGUACGAAGUUAUAACUGACCUGUCUGCGGGGUUAGCUAUAUACCUUGCCUUGAGGAUCAAGUUCAGCCUAUCCCGCAGUGUUGGCGCUUUGGUGGGAUGUCAUGAUGACUCAUGAACAUUCAACUGCACUGCUUGUGGUGAGUGUAGGGAAUUGAGCUUCUGUUCCGGAGAGUUGGGCCCGACAAAGGGUUCGAUUCGCUGGACAGUUGAGAGUGCGCGAAGAGCGGGUGUCGAUCUGGAUUUUUAUGCUUUGUUAGAAUGUAGUCGAAGGUGUAAGGUUAUUCCGUCAUCGUAAAAUGUCGAAGUCUCAUUAAAAAGAUGGGUUCGUUUUUUUUCCUGAAAUUUUAGUAUGGGGAAGUAACGGAAGAUGAUCAAUUUUUGACUGCGAGUUUGACUGGUGGACUUUGAGGAAUUCUGAAUCGAACUACGUGCGUUUUGACCUCUGUGAUAAUAGGCAUGGAAUCGGAUAAAAAAACGUUUUGGAGUUUUGUAUCGAUCGCGUGAUCGAGGUGUUUAGAUUAGGGUACGUUUAGCAUAUCGAAAUCGUUAAUCUGUAGUGUUGUUCAAACACCCGGUUUCUCGGACACCCGGUUGUUUUGAUAACAUGAUCCGGGUACCCGGGUGGCAACCGGUUCCGACCUCAAAAAUUGAUGAAAAAUGAAAAAAUCAAGAAAAAUUGCGAUUUUUAAGCUAAAUUUAGCGAAAUGUCGAUGUUUUAAUUCAAAGACGACGCGAAUCUACAAUUAUUACUGCCGAAAAUCCGAAAUGUCAAAUAAAUAAUUUUCUAAAGCGAAUAUUGAAUUUUGAUAAAAAAUCGCGGACAUUCCUAUUUUCACAACAUUCAUUUACUUUUUCAAUGAAAUUUCCACCCGGUUGCGAAUCCGGGUACCCGGUUGCUCCCCAACCGGGUGCAAAUUGUAUGGUGCAACCGGUUGACCCGGUUGUUUGAGCAACACUAUUAAUCUGUAGAUUCGUACAUAUUUUUUUCAUCGAUUUGUUUGUCCCUAACCCCCUCCCCCUUCUGUUUUAAUUCUAGCAGUGGAUUCGGUUAUUCACCAAAAAUGAGGAGGGUUUUAUUUUGGGAUGGAAAUUUUGUCCCAAUUGGUUAAUAUCAAUUUUUUCUGCCUGUUGUGCUUAAUUUUUCUGUACAAAUUGUUGACAUUUUUGCCCUGUUUUAUCAUUUUUAAAAGUUGAUUUUGCGAUUUCUGUUUUAUCUCUGUUAUAUUGUUUUAUGACUUGACUAUUUGUUGUUUCUUUUUUCUGUGUACAUUAUUUUUAGUACUUACAAUGAUUAAUCCCAUUAUUGUAAUGACCAAUCACGGUUUUUCACUGUUGCCCGGCCAGCAGUGUUUUUUAACCCAGAUGGUCAAGUUUUUAGGCAUUUUUUUGUUCAAUGUCGCUGAUUCUUGGUACCUAUAUGAUUUUUGGCCGUGUGGAGUCUUUUUAUUACUUUUUGAAAGUUGAGUUUGAAAUGACCGAAAAAAGUCAAUAAUGAGAGAAUAUGGCGAGUAAGAGCCUUUGAAUACCGAUUUCACGAUACUUAAGUGAAUAUACGUACCUCUAAUUGCUUUGAUUAAAUUGAUUCGUAUAUCUUGAGACGAUUCAAAUCUUGAUUUCUUUUAUCUAAGUUGUUGAAAGCUGCUGCGAUGGAUUUGCACUGCAAAAGUAGGUUCUAAAUCAGUGCAUGAAAGGCAGGUCAGUGUUUAUUUAUAUACCUAUUGAGCAGAAGCGAGCUCUUGAUAUGCCUGUGGUGUGGUAAAAAAAAAUAACACAAGGAAUCGAAAAUGACAAUUAUGGCUCAUUUUAAAUUUAGCCCCUUUCCGAACCCUCCUUUGGAUUUUAUCGAUGAACUAAUAUCAAAUUCGCAUUUAGCAGGUUUGAAAACCUGUAUUUUGAUACCCCACUUGGCAAUUGAGCUCAUUUUCAAAAUUUUGACCCCCUCCUCUGAAAGCCCUUUUUUGGUUUUAUCGCUGAAACAUCGUCAUAUGUAUAGUUCUGGGUAGGUUCAAACCACGGAAAUAUGGCUCAUUUUUCAUAAUUUGGACCCUUUCGCACUGGGCAAGCGCAAACGCCUGUUUUGAUACCUCACAUGGCAUUAAUUAGGUCAGUUUUCAAAAUUGGACCCUCCUUCUCAGAAGCAUCUUUCCUCACAAAACAAUAUUUGGCCUCGUUAUCGAAUUUGGACCUUUUCUCGCCAUUAAAUAUCCAUGGAUCAAUUAAAUUUAGCCCCUCACAAUAGAGAUCCUAUCGCCGAAAUGAUAUUAUCAAAAUCGUGCUUGGGGAGGCUCAAAACAUACAUUUCGACCCCUCACAUGGCAUGGAGGUCAAUUUUUUGAAUUUUUCAGCUCAUUGAAAUAAGUCUAUGGCCUCAAAUUAGCUCAAAUUCUCUUUGAAACAAAAUAUAAAUGUCAGAAUCGCGAUCAGUGACCUCGAAUUAAUAUAAAUAUACGAACGAAAAAAUCCAAUCCUCGGAUAAUCGAUCAAUUCCAGCCAAAAAAUCAAAUUACUCCUGCGAAAAUCAACGUAGGCAACUUCAUUGACAGGUUUACCAACAACACGCAGUGCUCUCUAUGCCAUUGAACUCGAAAUAGUCGUCAAAUUGGUAAAUUAAGGUGAAAGUCCUGCGAUUUUAAUACUACUAGCGCCAUCUAUUGAGCAAAAAUGAAACUUUUGUUCUGUUUUUAAAAGACGAGGUGAUGAAAUGGCGAAAUGAGAGCUAGAUAUGCGCGUGGCGCUAUCUCUCGGAAUAUUCGGGAACUAUUACGAAAAAGAGCGAUAGAAACGGUUUUUCGAU
This is a long non-coding RNA of Planococcus citri (citrus mealybug), 4045 nucleotides long. RefSeq lists it as uncharacterized. The transcript is spliced from 7 exons. The record is from RefSeq and is a predicted model, not a curated record. NCBI's taxonomy places the organism in Eukaryota, Metazoa, Arthropoda, Insecta, Hemiptera, Pseudococcidae.